This 345-nucleotide long non-coding RNA is filed under the name Brassica napus (rape). RNAcentral's name for it is "long non-coding RNA (BNAP_LNC017749)". The record is from RNAcentral. Lineage: Eukaryota; Viridiplantae; Streptophyta; Magnoliopsida; Brassicales; Brassicaceae.
AGUUAUAGAUAUAUCUUUUUGCUUAUGUUUUUGGAAAAAUAUAAAGAAAAACAAAAAUAAAACUCGUAUAUAUAGGGUUUUUUCAAAUAUGACUUAAAAUUUCAAGUCAAACACAAAAAUAACCCAUAUUUUUUUUUUGAAACUUUUUUUUUCAUAUUCACCCUAGAAGUUCUAGUUAUUCACGAAAAUGCCAUUACUUUUUUUUUCGAAAAUGAGUCUUUUACCUUAUCAUCCUCAUCUUCACCAAGUAUUUACAAUAUUGCCACUACCAUCAAUACACUAACCACCAUGAACAACCAAUUCGAAGCUCUUAAUGCACCAAAGUUUCGAUUUUUACUCUUCAUA